RNAcentral lists this long non-coding RNA (1274 nucleotides) under Mus musculus (house mouse). Its description in RNAcentral is "long non-coding RNA chr16:77413642-77414916". Lineage: Eukaryota; Metazoa; Chordata; Mammalia; Rodentia; Muridae. The record is from RNAcentral.
AUUGAUACCCAGCAAGCCAUCAUUUGCUACAUCUGUGGCUGGAACCAUGGGUCCCUCCAUGUGUGCUCCUUGGUUGGUGGUUUAGACACUGGGAGUCUGGUUAGUUGGUAUUGUUUUUCUUAUGGGGUUGAAAACCCCUUCAGUUUUAUUCUUAGAUAUAUGAACCGAAUGUUCAUGGAUAAGUUGAACUUUCAAAGGUAAAUAGCAUUCUACCCUAACUUUAUCAAACAUUAAACAAAAAUGAAGAAACCAAGGAAAUACAGCUGUUGGUCUUUGGCCUUUCUUUGGAAACCCUGGCCUUCCAGAGCAAUAUGGUUAGGAUGUGAAGAUGGUUUCAGUCAUGAACUUUGGGGAAGUUUUUCUUUCUUCUCAGGAGACAUACGAUGGGCUUGAAUACAGAACCUAAAAAUAAUGAAAAAUGAUAAGACCCCUGUCAGGGAUGCAAGUUUAACAACGAUGUUCUGGGUUAAGAUUAUUUAAGGAUGGUUUGCCACAUGAAUCUAUAGGUAAAGCUUCUUGCCCUCAAGGCUGAUGGCUUGAUUUCAGUCUGUGGGUUCCACCAGGUGGAAGGAACCAUUACCUUGAAGUUGCCCUCUGACUAGCACAUACUUGCUAUGGAAUAUGUGCUCAUUGUACAUAUAUGUGCACAAAUGCACAAAGCAAAGAACAACAACAAAAAAAAUCAAUGCAUUGAAAUCAUGACCUGAGGUCUUUUACCAUGCUCUUUAGUGUGCAAUCCUUAAAGUGUGUCCCACCUCUCUUUUAUGUUUAGAUUCACUCUGAAUUUUAAGUGUUCUAUGAUGAAGAGCUCACACUAGUGUUUACUCUAACAUGACUCUACCCUACACCCUCAUACCAUAUACAUCAAUGUUAGAGGCUUAUUUUUAUUUAUCUCCAAUGUCCUCAUACCAACAUUUCCUCUGAGGAAAGACACCAGGAUGUAAAGCAUGAUGGGAACAAAUCUGUGGUUGUGAUACCUCUGAAUGGGAAACCUGGAACCAAGAGAUUGGAAGGUAGAGAGGUGUAAGUGGAUGGUUUCUAUAAAGGAACUGUUAAAGGAUGUGAGAGAUUUGGUUCUGGAGAAUUUACUGGGGAAAGGAAUUCUGGCCGUAUUCUUGGCAUAUGGCCAAGAAUUCAUUUGCAAGCUCUGAAAUUAACCAAUGCUCUCAUAUGCAAGAAAGAGCAAAUAGACACCUAUUUGGUCAUCACCAUUGAGAGUACCAGAGAAGACUUGGACAUAACUUCUGAUUAGUAUCAAUUAUAAGCUACACUUG